ACCCUGGUGGUCCAAUGGUUAGGACUUGGUGCUUUCACUGUUGAGGGUCCAGGUUCAAUCCCUGCUCAGGGAA
RNAcentral lists this transfer RNA (73 nucleotides) under Capra hircus (goat). It matches the Rfam family "tRNA". From Rfam's summary of the family: Transfer RNA (tRNA) molecules are approximately 80 nucleotides in length. Lineage: Eukaryota; Metazoa; Chordata; Mammalia; Artiodactyla; Bovidae. RNAcentral also lists the same sequence under 1 other name. The record is from Rfam by way of RNAcentral.